CCCUUAGAUGUUCUGGGCCGCACGCGCGCUACACUGAUGCAUUCAACGAGUUUCUUCCUGGUCCGAGAGGAAUGGGUAACCUUUUGAAAGUACAUCGUGAUAGGGAUAGACUAUUGCAAUUAUUGGUCUUCAACGAGGAAUUCCUAGUAGACGUAGUUCAUCAGACUGCAUCGAUUACGUCCCUGCCCUUUGUACACACCGCCCGUCGCUCCUACCGAUUGAAUGCUCAGGUGAGCCAUUCGGACUUUCAUCAUGCUGGUUUCCAGUUUUGAUGAAGGAAAGUCUUGCGAACCUUAUCAUUUAGAGGAAGGAGAAGUCGUAACA
RNAcentral lists this ribosomal RNA (324 nucleotides) under uncultured eukaryote. RNAcentral describes it as "partial 18S ribosomal RNA". It matches the Rfam family "Eukaryotic small subunit ribosomal RNA", at positions 1470 to 1796 of the family's 1831-position model. The record is from RNAcentral.